RNAcentral lists this ribosomal RNA (290 nucleotides) under uncultured bacterium. Its description in RNAcentral is "partial 16S ribosomal RNA". It matches the Rfam family "Bacterial small subunit ribosomal RNA", at positions 56 to 339 of the family's 1533-position model. The record is from RNAcentral.
UGCAAGUCGAACGGUAACAGGCAAAAGCUUGCUUUUGUGCUGACGAGUGGCGGACGGGUGAGUAACACGUAGGAAUCUGCCUAGUAGGUGGGGGACAACCCGGGGAAACCCGGGCUAAUACCGCAUACGCCCGUACGGGGGAAAGCGGGGGGAUCUUCGGACCUCGCGCUAUUAGAUGAGCCUGCGUCGGAUUAGCUUGUUGGUAGGGUAAAGGCCUACCAAGGCGACGAUCCGUAGCUGGUCUGAGAGGACGAUCAGCCACACUGGGACUGAGACACGGCCCAGACUCC